RNAcentral lists this microRNA (22 nucleotides) under Macaca nemestrina (pig-tailed macaque). RNAcentral's name for it is "mne-miR-211". Its record names the gene mne-miR-211. Lineage: Eukaryota; Metazoa; Chordata; Mammalia; Primates; Cercopithecidae. RNAcentral also lists the same sequence under 4 other names. The record is from miRBase by way of RNAcentral.
UUCCCUUUGUCAUCCUUCGCCU